This 1040-nucleotide ribosomal RNA is filed under the name Salmonella enterica. Its description in RNAcentral is "partial 23S ribosomal RNA". It matches the Rfam family "Bacterial large subunit ribosomal RNA", at positions 129 to 1209 of the family's 2925-position model. Lineage: Bacteria; Pseudomonadati; Pseudomonadota; Gammaproteobacteria; Enterobacterales; Enterobacteriaceae. The record is from RNAcentral.
CAGUGUGACUCGUCACACUAUCAUUAACUGAAUCCAUAGGUUAAUGAGGCGAACCGGGGGAACUGAAACAUCUAAGUACCCCGAGGAAAAGAAAUCAACCGAGAUUCCCCCAGUAGCGGCGAGCGAACGGGGAGGAGCCCAGAGCCUGAAUCAGCAUGUGUGUUAGUGGAAGCGUCUGGAAAGGCGCGCGAUACAGGGUGACAGCCCCGUACACAAAAGCGCAUGUGCUGUGAGCUCGAUGAGUAGGGCGGGACACGUGGUAUCCUGUCUGAAUAUGGGGGGACCAUCCUCCAAGGCUAAAUACUCCUGACUGACCGAUAGUGAACCAGUACCGUGAGGGAAAGGCGAAAAGAACCCCGGCGAGGGGAGUGAAAAAGAACCUGAAACCGUGUACGUACAAGCAGUGGGAGCACAGGUUUACCUGUGUGACUGCGUACCUUUUGUAUAAUGGGUCAGCGACUUAUAUUCUGUAGCAAGGUUAACCGUAUAGGGGAGCCGUAGGGAAACCGAGUCUUAACCGGGCGUUAAGUUGCAGGGUAUAGACCCGAAACCCGGUGAUCUAGCCAUGGGCAGGUUGAAGGUUGGGUAACACUAACUGGAGGACCGAACCGACUAAUGUUGAAAAAUUAGCGGAUGACCUGUGGCUGGGGGUGAAAGGCCAAUCAAACCGGGAGAUAGCUGGUUCUCCCCGAAAGCUAUUUAGGUAGCGCCUCGUGAAUUCAUCUCCGGGGGUAGAGCACUGUUUCGGCUAGGGGGCCAUCCCGGCUUACCAACCCGAUGCAAACUGCGAAUACCGGAGAAUGUUAUCACGGGAGACACACGGCGGGUGCUAACGUCCGUCGUGAAGAGGGAAACAACCCAGACCGCCAGCUAAGGUCCCAAAGUCAUGGUUAAGUGGGAAACGAUGUGGGAAGGCCCAGACAGCCAGGAUGUUGGCUUAGAAGCAGCCAUCAUUUAAAGAAAGCGUAAUAGCUCACUGGUCGAGUCGGCCUGCGCGGAAGAUGUAACGGGGCUAAACCAUGCACCGAAGCUGCGGCAGC